GAGAUCUUAAGACCUCCGUGAAUAUAUUUGGAAGUCCACAUGACUUUCUUUGGAUGAUAGCUGAAAUUCCACAACGGUGUUGAGCCCUUUGGCCCUGCUGUCAAGCAGGGAGUUACUGUCUAUUUCAUAAGAACACGUAUGGGACACUCUUGGGAAAUACCAGUGUUCUCAUUUCUUGAUCUACAAAGAAUGGGAGACAAGUUACAAAAUAAACAUGUGAUAAACCAGGAGUAAGUAAAUGGGUAAGGAAUUUUUUUUGUGAAAGAAACAUGAAAGUAAAAGAAUAAAUGCCAAUGUGAAGGCUCUGAACUGUUGCUGAGAUGAAUAAGGAUUUGGCUAAAACAAAGAGGAGAAGUGUUCAGUAAUAGAUAAAAACAGAUCAGCU
Molecule: long non-coding RNA, 385 nt
Organism: Lutra lutra (Eurasian river otter)
Lineage: Eukaryota; Metazoa; Chordata; Mammalia; Carnivora; Mustelidae
Exons: 3
Source: RefSeq, a predicted model, not a curated record